CCCCCUAAUUUCUCUCAACCUCCCUCGACUUUCCAACCCCCUACACCCUAUAUAUUGUCACACACACACACGAAAAUGAAAAACACACGGACAAAGAGAGAGAUAAAAAGAAAAGGAAGAGAAAACUUAAAAACAUAAGGGGAAGAAUGGAGAAAAGCAACAAAAGAAAACAAAAGUGAAAAGAUAAAGGAAAAAGGAAGAAAACACUUACAAAAAACAAAAGAAAACUCAAAGUAAAAAAAAA
This 244-nucleotide long non-coding RNA is filed under the name Capsicum annuum. RNAcentral's name for it is "long non-coding RNA (CANN_LNC005751)". Lineage: Eukaryota; Viridiplantae; Streptophyta; Magnoliopsida; Solanales; Solanaceae. The record is from RNAcentral.